Passer domesticus (house sparrow) is the source of this 304-nucleotide long non-coding RNA. RefSeq lists it as uncharacterized. The record is from RefSeq and is a predicted model, not a curated record. NCBI's taxonomy places the organism in Eukaryota, Metazoa, Chordata, Aves, Passeriformes, Passeridae. The transcript is spliced from 2 exons.
UGAUCCCACACAUCCCACAGGAGGGGUGGGGAGCAGAUCCCACAGGCAGGAGGGGAGCUGAUCCCACAGAUCCUACAGGCAGGAGGGGAGCUGACCCCACAGACCCCACAGGAGCAGGGCGGGCACAGGGAAGUGCCCCCUGUGCCCCCGUGCCCGGGCUCCUGGAGCCUGGCUGGGAGCACCCAGGGCUGACUCAGGGGACCUCAGUGCCCAGAGCACCCCAGCUCACACCCACAAAGGGACACCCCUCACCCCAAAAGCUGAACAACUUCAUUUGACAUUAUCUGUUCACCUGUUUGGUUUU